This 1375-nucleotide ribosomal RNA is filed under the name Escherichia coli. Its description in RNAcentral is "partial 23S ribosomal RNA". It matches the Rfam family "Bacterial large subunit ribosomal RNA", at positions 1592 to 2925 of the family's 2925-position model. The record is from RNAcentral. Lineage: Bacteria; Pseudomonadati; Pseudomonadota; Gammaproteobacteria; Enterobacterales; Enterobacteriaceae.
AACAAAUGCCCUGCUUCCAGGAAAAGCCUCUAAGCAUCAGGUAACAUCAAAUCGUACCCCAAACCGACACAGGUGGUCAGGUAGAGAAUACCAAGGCGCUUGAGAGAACUCGGGUGAAGGAACUAGGCAAAAUGGUGCCGUAACUUCGGGAGAAGGCACGCUGAUAUGUAGGUGAAGUCCCUCGCGGAUGGAGCUGAAAUCAGUCGAAGAUACCAGCUGGCUGCAACUGUUUAUUAAAAACACAGCACUGUGCAAACACGAAAGUGGACGUAUACGGUGUGACGCCUGCCCGGUGCCGGAAGGUUAAUUGAUGGGGUCAGCGCAAGCGAAGCUCUUGAUCGAAGCCCCGGUAAACGGCGGCCGUAACUAUAACGGUCCUAAGGUAGCGAAAUUCCUUGUCGGGUAAGUUCCGACCUGCACGAAUGGCGUAAUGAUGGCCAGGCUGUCUCCACCCGAGACUCAGUGAAAUUGAACUCGCUGUGAAGAUGCAGUGUACCCGCGGCAAGACGGAAAGACCCCGUGAACCUUUACUAUAGCUUGACACUGAACAUUGAGCCUUGAUGUGUAGGAUAGGUGGGAGGCUUUGAAGUGUGGACGCCAGUCUGCAUGGAGCCGACCUUGAAAUACCACCCUUUAAUGUUUGAUGUUCUAACGUGGACCCGUGAUCCGGGUUGCGGACAGUGUCUGGUGGGUAGUUUGACUGGGGCGGUCUCCUCCUAAAGAGUAACGGAGGAGCACGAAGGUUGGCUAAUCCUGGUCGGACAUCAGGAGGUUAGUGCAAUGGCAUAAGCCAGCUUGACUGCGAGCGUGACGGCGCGAGCAGGUGCGAAAGCAGGUCAUAGUGAUCCGGUGGUUCUGAAUGGAAGGGCCAUCGCUCAACGGAUAAAAGGUACUCCGGGGAUAACAGGCUGAUACCGCCCAAGAGUUCAUAUCGACGGCGGUGUUUGGCACCUCGAUGUCGGCUCAUCACAUCCUGGGGCUGAAGUAGGUCCCAAGGGUAUGGCUGUUCGCCAUUUAAAGUGGUACGCGAGCUGGGUUUAGAACGUCGUGAGACAGUUCGGUCCCUAUCUGCCGUGGGCGCUGGAGAACUGAGGGGGGCUGCUCCUAGUACGAGAGGACCGGAGUGGACGCAUCACUGGUGUUCGGGUUGUCAUGCCAAUGGCACUGCCCGGUAGCUAAAUGCGGAAGAGAUAAGUGCUGAAAGCAUCUAAGCACGAAACUUGCCCCGAGAUGAGUUCUCCCUGACCCUUUAAGGGUCCUGAAGGAACGUUGAAGACGACGACGUUGAUAGGCCGGGUGUGUAAGCGCAGCGAUGCGUUGAGCUAACCGGUACUAAUGAACCGUGAGGCUUAACCUUACAACGCCGAAGGUGUUU